GAAGAUGUCUUGUUAACACUUGAUGUCUAGAGAUUGGGAGCUGGUGAAAGAGGUUUGGCUUCAAUGACCGGAUAAUAAUGCCUUUCAGGAGAGAGACUACAAGAAGAAGGGCAGAUAAUAUAUGAAUAAAGUUCAGCCAAAAGGAUCAAAUGAGAAUAAAGGGAUUUAAAUAUGUGUACACACACAUACACACACACACUUAGUCUUGUAAUUUCAGGUAAGAAAGUCUCCUAACACUAUUUUGCAUCUGUUUUCUUUUUCUAAGUCAUGAUAAUGUAGAUGUUCUGGUCCAUCAUAAAAGAAUGUUUAUGUACAUUUCAGUCAUUCGAUAUGUGACUUUGGAAAUUAAACUAUAGGCAAAAUAUUUGUAUUAUAUAUUGCAUAUAAUUUCGUUUUGUAAAUGUUGAUUGCACAUGUGGUUAAAUUAUUGUUAAGACUGCUUUUAUGUGACCUGUAGUCUCCCACAAAACCUAAAGUAAUAAGCUGGCUUUUCUGUGAUA
Long non-coding RNA from Piliocolobus tephrosceles (Ugandan red Colobus), 500 nucleotides. RefSeq lists it as uncharacterized. The transcript has 2 exons. NCBI's taxonomy places the organism in Eukaryota, Metazoa, Chordata, Mammalia, Primates, Cercopithecidae. The record is from RefSeq and is a predicted model, not a curated record.